RNAcentral lists this ribosomal RNA (473 nucleotides) under uncultured bacterium. RNAcentral's name for it is "partial 16S ribosomal RNA". It matches the Rfam family "Bacterial small subunit ribosomal RNA", at positions 28 to 507 of the family's 1533-position model. The record is from RNAcentral.
GAUGAACGCUAGCGGCAGGCCUAAUACAUGCAAGUCGAACGGGCGGUAGCAAUACCGCUAGUGGCGCACGGGUGCGUAACGCGUAACCAACCUGCCCAGAUCUGGGGGAUAGCCCGCCGAAAGGCGGAUUAAUACCGCAUAAACCCACAGUGUGGCAUCACAUAAUGGGUAAAGAUUUAUCGGAUCUGGAUGGGGUUGCGUAGCAUUAGCUAGUUGGCGGGGUAAUGGCCCACCAAGGCGACGAUGCUUAGGGGACCUGAGAGGGUGAUCCCCCACACUGGCACUGAGAUACGGGCCAGACUCCUACGGGAGGCAGCAGUAGGGAAUAUUGGGCAAUGGGCGAGAGCCUGAUCCAGCCAUGCCGCGUGCCGGAUGAAGGCCUUCUGGGGUGUAAACGGCUUUUCUCAGGGAAGAAAACGGGGAUGCGUCCUCAACUGACGGUACCUGAGGAAUAAGCACCGGCUAACUCCGUG